Molecule: signal recognition particle RNA, 94 nt
Filed under: human gut metagenome
Description: Bacterial small signal recognition particle RNA
Rfam family: Bacterial small signal recognition particle RNA
About the family: The signal recognition particle (SRP) is a universally conserved ribonucleoprotein involved in the co-translational targeting of proteins to membranes. Archaeal SRP consists of a 7S RNA and homologues of the eukaryotic SRP19 and SRP54 proteins. In most bacteria, the SRP consists of a 4.5S RNA and the Ffh protein (a homologue of the eukaryotic SRP54 protein).
Source: RNAcentral
UCGGGCCCCAUGCAACGGCUGUCCGCGCGAACCCCGCCAGGUCGGGAACGAAGCAACGGCAGUGACGGACUCCGUGUGCCGUGGGUAGCCUGGC